RNAcentral lists this ribosomal RNA (439 nucleotides) under uncultured bacterium. Its description in RNAcentral is "partial 16S ribosomal RNA". It matches the Rfam family "Bacterial small subunit ribosomal RNA", at positions 339 to 795 of the family's 1533-position model. The record is from RNAcentral.
CUACGGGUCGCUGCAGUGGGGAAUAUUGCACAAUGGAGGAAACUCUGAUGCAGCAACGCCGCGUGGAGGAUGACACAUUUCGGUGCGUAAACUCCUUUUAUAUGGGAAGAUAAUGACGGUACCAUAUGAAUAAGCACCGGCUAACUCCGUGCCAGCAGCCGCGGUAAUACGGAGGGUGCAAGCGUUACUCGGAAUCACUGGGCGUAAAGCGCGCGCAGGCGGCCUUUUAAGUUGGAUGUGAAAGCCUAUGGCUCAACCAUAGAACUGCAUCCAAAACUAUCAGGCUAGAGUGUGGGAGAGGAAGAUGGAAUUAGUUGUGUAGGGGUAAAAUCCGUAGAGAUAACUAGGAAUACCAAAAGCGAAGGCAAUCUUCUGGAACAUUACUGACGCUGAGGCGCGAAAGCGUGGGGAGCAAACAGGAUUAGAUACCCCUGUAGUC